This 492-nucleotide ribosomal RNA is filed under the name uncultured bacterium. Its description in RNAcentral is "partial 16S ribosomal RNA". It matches the Rfam family "Bacterial small subunit ribosomal RNA", at positions 29 to 507 of the family's 1533-position model. The record is from RNAcentral.
AGUGAACGCUGGCGGUAGGCCUAACACAUGCAAGUCGAACGGCAGCACAGUAAGAGCUUGCUCUUACGGGUGGCGAGUGGCGGACGGGUGAGGAAUACAUCGGAAUCUACUUUUUCGUGGGGGAUAACGUAGGGACACUUACGCUAAUACCGCAUACGACCUACGGGUGAAAGCAGGGGAUCUUCGCACCUUGCGCGUUUGAAUGAGCCGAUGUCGGAUUAGCUAGUUGGCGGGGUAAAGGCCCACCAAGGCGACGAUCCGUAGCUGGUCUGAGAGGAUGAUCAGCCACACUGGAACUGAGACACGGUCCAGACUCCUACGGGAGGCAGCAGUGGGGAAUAUUGGACAAUGGGCGCAAGCCUGAUCCAGCCAUACCGCGUGGGUGAAGAAGGCCUUCGGGUUGUAAAGCCCUUUUGUUGGGAAAGAAAAGCAGCAGGUGAAUACCCCGCUGUUCUGACGGUACCCAAAGAAUAAGCACCGGCUAACUUCGUG